RNAcentral lists this ribosomal RNA (427 nucleotides) under uncultured bacterium. RNAcentral's name for it is "partial 16S ribosomal RNA". It matches the Rfam family "Bacterial small subunit ribosomal RNA", at positions 355 to 774 of the family's 1533-position model. The record is from RNAcentral.
UGGGGAAUAUUGCACAAUGGGCGCAAGCCUGAUGCAGCCAUGCCGCGUGUAUGAAGAAGGCCUUCGGGUUGUAAAGUACUUUCAGCGGGGAGGAAGGUGUUGUGGUUAAUAACCGCAGCAAUUGACGUUACCCGCAGAAGAAGCACCGGCUAACUCCGUGCCAGCAGCCGCGGUAAUACGGAGGGUGCAAGCGUUAAUCGGAAUUACUGGGCGUAAAGCGCACGCAGGCGGUCUGUCAAAUCGGAUGUGAAAUCCCCGGGCUCAACCUGGGAACUGCAUUCGAAACUGGCAGGCUAGAGUCUUGUAGAGGGGGGUAGAAUUCCAGGUGUAGCGGUGAAAUGCGUAGAGAUCUGGAGGAAUACCGGUGGCGAAGGCGGCCCCCUGGACAAAGACUGACGCUCAGGUGCGAAAGCGUGGGGAGCAAACA